UGGCGGCGUGCCUAAUACAUGCAAGUCGAGCGAAUGGAUUAAGAGCUUGCUCUUAUGAAGUUAGCGGCGGACGGGUGAGUAACACGUGGGUAACCUGCCCAUAAGACUGGGAUAACUCCGGGAAACCGGGGCUAAUACCGGAUAACAUUUUGAACUGCAUGGUUCGAAAUUGAAAGGCGGCUUCGGCUGUCACUUAUGGAUGGACCCGCGUCGCAUUAGCUAGUUGGUGAGGUAACGGCUCACCAAGGCAACGAUGCGUAGCCGACCUGAGAGGGUGAUCGGCCACACUGGGACUGAGACACGGCCCAGACUCCUACGGGAGGCAGCAGUAGGGAAUCUUCCGCAAUGGACGAAAGUCUGACGGAGCAACGCCGCGUGAGUGAUGAAGGCUUUCGGGUCGUAAAACUCUGUUGUUAGGGAAGAACAAGUGCUAGUUGAAUAAGCUGGCACCUUGACGGUACCUAACCAGAAAGCCACGGCUAACUACGUGCCAGCAG
This 497-nucleotide ribosomal RNA is filed under the name marine sediment bacterium ISA-1173. Its description in RNAcentral is "bacterial SSU rRNA". It matches the Rfam family "Bacterial small subunit ribosomal RNA", at positions 37 to 514 of the family's 1533-position model. The record is from RNAcentral.